AUUGAACGCUAGCGGGAUGCCUUACACAUGCCAGUCGAACGGAGUGGCGAACGGGUGAGUAAUGUAUCUGAACGUGCCCAGUAGCGGGGGAUAACUACGCGAAAGCGUAGCUAAUACCGCAUACUAUUGGAGCUGCCUAUAUCGGAUUAGCUAGUUGGGGGGGUAACGGCUCACCAAGGCGACGAUCCGUAGCUGGUUUAAGAGGACGACCAGCCAAACUGGGAAUGAGACAAGGCCCAGACUCCUACGGGAGGCAGCAGUGGGGAAUUUUGGACAAUGGGGGAAACCCUGAUCCAGCCAUCCCGCGUGUGCGAUGAAGGCCUUCGGGUUGUAAAGCACUUUUGGCAGGAAAGCGGUACCUGCAGAAUAAGCACCGGCUAACUACGUGCCAGCAGCCGCGGUAAUUC
This 407-nucleotide ribosomal RNA is filed under the name uncultured bacterium. Its description in RNAcentral is "partial 16S ribosomal RNA". It matches the Rfam family "Bacterial small subunit ribosomal RNA", at positions 30 to 526 of the family's 1533-position model. The record is from RNAcentral.